CGACUAUCCUGAUUUUCCACCUGAUUUUAAGGAGUAAAGGCCAGUAUUUGUCUCCUUGAUCCAUCUACUCAUAUAAAACACUUCAGGAGGCUGAAGUCCCUCGGUGCAGCAGACAAUCAUCCCAGUACAUGGCUGUUCUGAAGUAUCAUGCAUACCUACGAAGAACUAUAGCCAAGGGAAACAGAUGACAUAGAGAUUUCUUAGCAGUGAAUAUUGACUGCCUGUGAUUUUCAGAGAAACAUCAGUCACAGAAGAGCACUGGGAGCCACCUGCAGCAACUCUGUCAUGGCCUUUGAAGCUGUGAUGUUUUAGAGAUGUAAGUGGGAGAUCAGGACGGAUAGGAUUGGAGGAAUAUGGCUUUGUGAGCUGGUUAUCAUCAGCACAUACCAACACGGUGUCCUCUGCUGUGUGCUAGGAUGAGCUGGGGGGCUCCUCUGUUGAGUUAAUAUUGUG
Molecule: long non-coding RNA, 453 nt
Filed under: Coturnix japonica (Japanese quail)
Lineage: Eukaryota; Metazoa; Chordata; Aves; Galliformes; Phasianidae
Description: lncRNA (ENSCJPG00005018670.1)
Source: RNAcentral